Molecule: small RNA, 186 nt
Filed under: Puniceicoccales bacterium
Lineage: Bacteria; Pseudomonadati; Verrucomicrobiota; Opitutia; Puniceicoccales
Description: 6S RNA
Source: RNAcentral
UUUUCGCUGGGGUGUUCGUGAUUCCAGAUAAAUGUUCCAUUCCUUAUUAUGUAUUGCAUAAUGCUGGGCAAAGAGUCGUAGCUGUCAGGCCAUUUUAUUAUGGAAGACAAAAGCUUCUCUACUAGCAUAAGUCUGUUGAGGGCAAGGUAAGUGAACAUAUCAUGACACGGCACAUCCAGCCUUUAA